Molecule: ribosomal RNA, 110 nt
Filed under: Aequorivita sp.
Lineage: Bacteria; Pseudomonadati; Bacteroidota; Flavobacteriia; Flavobacteriales; Flavobacteriaceae
Source: RNAcentral
UAAGGUGGUUAUAGCGACGGGGCUCACCUCUUACCAUUCCGAACAGAGUAGUUAAGCCCGUUUGCGCCGAUGGUACUGCGAUCCCGUGGGAGAGUAGGUCGCCGCCUUCC